Non-coding RNA from Xyrichtys novacula (pearly razorfish), 656 nucleotides. The record is from the annotation of a GenBank genome assembly. Lineage: Eukaryota; Metazoa; Chordata; Actinopteri; Labriformes; Labridae.
UGGGCUGGUGGUCUGGGUGUAGAAAGAGGUGGUGCUGAUGAGGAAAACUUUGAUGAUUUGUUUAGGUGGAGUUUUAUCAGGGUUUAAAAAAGACUUGGGUUCUCUCUUUAUUGUGCAGCACAAGGUCGGUUAAGGACAGCCGACUUGAGAACAUCAUCUGGAGGACGCAGAAGAGCUGAGUGGAUCUUCCUCCACAGUGCUGCUUUUUUUACUUUUCGCUUUGACCUCCUGCAUUGUGCAUUUAAGCUCUCUUCUUUGCCCUGUCUCGGCCUGUGAGUGAGGACUUUAUUGUGCUGAGAGUUUCCUCCACGGUCAUCUUAGCUGCUUGGUUUUGUGUGGAGAGUUGACCUAUGCAGUGACCUCUUCCUCCUUUUUCUCCUGAGAGGAUGCAAGAUGACCAUCAUCUUUGAGAGGUCCCUAUGGAAAAGCUGCCAGAACUACGUCAGAGGAGUCUUCUUGUCACCUCCCCACAGAGAUCAGUCACUGCUUCAGCACUGUGACUUGGUGGAUCUCAUGCCACUGAUGGGCCAGUGGAAAGGAAAUGGUCAUUUCUUGAGAUGAAAAAAACGUCUUAAAAGGUGGGGUAGGCAGGAUAUGAGGAUGUGCCAGUUUUUAGGAGAAACCAUAAAUGUAAACUCUACCCCUCCCAACCAGUU